UCUCUCAACCAACCGUACGAGCGCAGUUCAUUGAUCUUGACAGCGUUAAGAGGCGGGAGAAGCCCGUCACUGUGAUUUGCCGUUGAUUGAUCUUGGUCAUCGGCCACUUGCUCCACCAUUGCUUUGGUCAUCGAUUGACUUGAAAUCAAACAGAGGUCUCGUCUGGAUUGUCAAGAUCAAUUAUCUAGGUUGGGCUUAUUGUUGAUCUGUUUAAUGCGCGCUUGUGUUCUCCCGAUUGCCACCGACAACUCCACCUCUCUCUACCAGUUCAAUGUGUUCAACUCUUGCUGGUCGUAAGUUAGCUGCAGUUUGAUAGGUCACAUACCAAGACUAGUUUAGACCGGCUGCGAUGAGGCAUUGGUGACAUAACAACUCAAAUGUAGGGAAACUGGGGUAACAUAUUAUGCAGGAACAUGUUGUUGGAGCAAUACUCUUUGAGGUAUGCUUUCAAUGAUGAAAAGACUUCUUUUGUCCAAGCAAAUAUUGACUGAAAAGGUGUCAUCUCAUUUUAUUGGAGCGUACAUAUCAUGUGUUGAUUGUACAGGGAGAAAGGAAAGAAGAAGUUACUGAGAAGUUGUCAUCACAGGUCUUAGUGCGUCUUCCAAACUUUUUCGGCUGAAGGAAUGCACAAAUUUUAGGUUGAAGGAAGCUGGAUUAACUCGGUGAAUCAUUAUGUAGGGCAAUUUAUUUGUAUUUCGUAUGUACUUUUCGUGUCGAAAGAUAACUUGAA
Long non-coding RNA from Rhododendron vialii, 730 nucleotides. RefSeq lists it as uncharacterized. The transcript is spliced from 6 exons. Lineage: Eukaryota; Viridiplantae; Streptophyta; Magnoliopsida; Ericales; Ericaceae. The record is from RefSeq and is a predicted model, not a curated record.